RNAcentral lists this non-coding RNA (29 nucleotides) under Mus musculus (house mouse). Lineage: Eukaryota; Metazoa; Chordata; Mammalia; Rodentia; Muridae. The record is from RNAcentral.
UAGAUGCCAGAAGCACCUUCACCCCAUCU